GUAGAGCAUCAGACUUUUAAUCUGAGGGUC
RNAcentral lists this non-coding RNA (30 nucleotides) under Cricetulus griseus (Chinese hamster). The record is from RNAcentral. Lineage: Eukaryota; Metazoa; Chordata; Mammalia; Rodentia; Cricetidae.